UGGCGGUGAUGUGGCUGACAGGUGGCCGCAGAUGUGUGCACUAUUGUGGCAAAGAUCUAUUGUGACACAUGGCAGAUUCUGAUAAUGUGGACUAAUGAUGUGGUUGGAAGCGUUGACUGAAAUCCUAACACUUUGACUAGCAUGUUAGAGGGCUUGCCGACUUUUGAUUGAUGUGAAAUUUCACCUCCCACUAUCUUUCAAUGCUGAAAAAGUUAGAUUUCUUUAUGUGCUAGUGCAUGUGAAUUUUAAAAAUUUUUCUAAAUUCAAAAUGCAG
RNAcentral lists this long non-coding RNA (274 nucleotides) under Elaeis guineensis (African oil palm). RNAcentral's name for it is "long non-coding RNA (EGUI_LNC035279)". Lineage: Eukaryota; Viridiplantae; Streptophyta; Magnoliopsida; Arecales; Arecaceae. The record is from RNAcentral.